CCUACGGGAGGCAGCAGUGAGGAAUAUUGGUCAAUGGACGAGAGUCUGAACCAGCCAAGUAGCGUGAAGGAUGAAUGCCCUAUGGGUUGUAAACUUCUUUUAUAUGGGAAUAAAAUGUUCCACGUGUGGGAUUUUGUAUGUACCAUAUGAAUAAGGAUCGGCUAACUCCGUGCCAGCAGCCGCGGUAAUACGGAGGGUCCGAGCGUUAUCCGGAUUUAUUGGGUUUAAAGGGAGCGUAGGUGGAUUGUUAAGUCAGUUGUGAAAGUUUGCGGCUCAACCGUAAAAUUGCAGUUGAAACUGGCAGGCUUGAGUACAGUAGAGGUGGGUGGAAUUCGAGGUGUAGCGGUGAAAUGCUUAGAGAUCACGAAGAAUUCCGAUUGCGAAGGCAGCUCACUGGACUGAAACUGACACUGAGGCGCGAAAGUGUGGGUAUCAAACAGGAUUAGAUACCCCAGUAGUC
Molecule: ribosomal RNA, 460 nt
Filed under: uncultured bacterium
Lineage: Bacteria
Description: partial 16S ribosomal RNA
Rfam family: Bacterial small subunit ribosomal RNA
Source: RNAcentral